RNAcentral lists this long non-coding RNA (268 nucleotides) under Medicago truncatula (barrel medic). RNAcentral's name for it is "long non-coding RNA (MTRU_LNC008216)". Lineage: Eukaryota; Viridiplantae; Streptophyta; Magnoliopsida; Fabales; Fabaceae. The record is from RNAcentral.
UUUUAACAUUUCUAUAUUUAUUUUCAUAUUUCUCAAUUUAUUGACCAAAAUCAUUAUGUUCCAUUUUUGCACUCUUUCUCCCCGUGGACCAAAUACACAUUCAUCUCCUCCAAAUCCAAAUCCUUAAACUGUUAACUUAAUCCAAAUCCACCCACACAUUCACAUAACCUCAAAAUUCUCUCUUUUCGCUUUGUUUUUUUUCUAACCUUAAUCGCUGUCUCUCUUCCAACAAUCACAGUUUCAUCGGAUUCCCCGAAUUUUGUCCUGG